This 253-nucleotide ribosomal RNA is filed under the name uncultured bacterium. RNAcentral describes it as "partial 16S ribosomal RNA". It matches the Rfam family "Bacterial small subunit ribosomal RNA", at positions 524 to 776 of the family's 1533-position model. The record is from RNAcentral.
UACGGAGGGUGCGAGCGUUGUCCGGAAUCACUGGGCGUAAAGGGUGCGCAGGCGGCCAAGUGUGUGAGGCGUGAAAGCCCGGGGCUUAACCCCGGAAUUGCACCUCAAACUACAUGGCUAGAGCAUUGGAGAGGGUAGCAGAAUUCAUGGUGUAGCAGUGAAAUGCGUAGAUAUCAUGAGGAAUACCAGAGGCGAAGGCGGCUACCUGGACAAUUGCUGACGCUCAGGCACGAAAGCGUGGGGAGCAAACAGG